GCUUAGGAAUCUGCCAUUUAGUGGGGGACAACAUUCCGAAAGGAAUGCUAAUACCGCAUACGUCCUACGGGAGAAAGCAGGGGAUCUUCGGACCUUGCGCUAAAUGAUGAGCCUAAGUCGGAUUAGCUAGUUGGUGGGGUAAAGGCCUACCAAGGCGACGAUCUGUAGCGGGUCUGAGAGGAUGAUCCGCCACACUGGGACUGAGACACGGCCCAGACUCCUACGGGAGGCAGCAGUGGGGAAUAUUGGACAAUGGGCGGAAGCCUGAUCCAGCCAUGCCGCGUGUGUGAAGAAGGCCUUUUGGUUGUAAAGCACUUUAAGCGAGGAGGAGGCUACCUGGAUUAAUACUCUAGGAUAGUGGACGUUACUCGCAGAAUAAGCACCGGCUAACUCUGUGCCAGCAGCCGCGGUAAUACAGAGGGUGCGAGCGUUAAUCGGAUUUACUGGGCGUAAAGCGUGCGUAGGCGGCUUUUUAAGUCGGAUGUGAAAUCCCCGAGCUUAACUUGGGAAUUGCAUUCGAUACUGGGAAGCUAGAGUAUGGGAGAGGAUGGUAGAAUUCC
RNAcentral lists this ribosomal RNA (560 nucleotides) under Acinetobacter sp. DsA.N048. Its description in RNAcentral is "bacterial SSU rRNA". It matches the Rfam family "Bacterial small subunit ribosomal RNA", at positions 115 to 670 of the family's 1533-position model. The record is from RNAcentral. Lineage: Bacteria; Pseudomonadati; Pseudomonadota; Gammaproteobacteria; Moraxellales; Moraxellaceae.